RNAcentral lists this transfer RNA (69 nucleotides) under Ictidomys tridecemlineatus (thirteen-lined ground squirrel). Its description in RNAcentral is "Spermophilus tridecemlineatus (thirteen-lined ground squirrel) tRNA". It matches the Rfam family "tRNA". Rfam says of the family: Transfer RNA (tRNA) molecules are approximately 80 nucleotides in length. Their secondary structure includes four short double-helical elements and three loops (D, anti-codon, and T loops). Further hydrogen bonds mediate the characteristic L-shaped molecular structure. tRNAs have two regions of fundamental functional importance: the anti-codon, which is responsible for specific mRNA codon recognition, and the 3' end, to which the tRNAs corresponding amino acid is attached (by aminoacyl-tRNA synthetases). tRNAs cope with the degeneracy of the genetic code in two manners: having more than one tRNA (with a specific anti-codon) for a particular amino acid; and 'wobble' base-pairing, i.e. permitting non-standard base-pairing at the 3rd anti-codon position. The record is from Rfam by way of RNAcentral. Lineage: Eukaryota; Metazoa; Chordata; Mammalia; Rodentia; Sciuridae.
GGGAUUGUGGCUCAGAGGUAGAGUGCUAGCCUAGCAUGUUUGAGGCACUGGGUUCGAUCCUCAGCACCA